Hemicordylus capensis (graceful crag lizard) is the source of this 649-nucleotide long non-coding RNA. RefSeq lists it as uncharacterized. The record is from RefSeq and is a predicted model, not a curated record. NCBI's taxonomy places the organism in Eukaryota, Metazoa, Chordata, Lepidosauria, Squamata, Cordylidae. The transcript has 2 exons.
GUCACCUGACCAGAAAGGGCGCUGACUCUGCAACGGACUAGCAUAGGAGCAGCGUUGUUUGAGCGGGGGAUACAAUUGAACGGGUGUUUUCUUCCCCCUCGCGGUGACGCAUCUAUGCGUCAGUUCGCUCAGUGUCACGUGACGGACAGUUCCUAGCUCACGCCUCGCCUUCGCUGUAGUUCCAGCCAGGUCGUGCUUGUGGUGUUGAUGGAGGUGCUGAUGGCUAUGCGAAUGGUCCGUCUAAUCCCUCAAACUGAAAUGCCUCAAAUCUGCUGCGAAGCAGAAUCGCUCUUCAGAUACCCCGAGGCACAGAGCCAUGUGUGAAAAACCUCCAGGUGAUGGUGACCAGAGAAAAAUCCUUUUCAGUCAUGGCACUAUGGCAAUUCCAGAAGGGGUCACUUGACAGCAGGUCCAACCAUAUUUCUUUUGGGCCAGUUGAUGAAGGCCUUUUUGCUUGAUUGUAUUUUAAUCUCAUAUGGCUCAGGAAAUUUAAUUUGUUGUUUUGUGGAACUAUAUUAUGCUGUUCUUUUUUUUGUAUGUACAGCUUGUGUAUGUAUAGCUGUUUUAAACAAUGGUGCAAGCUGCUCUGGGAGUUUUUACUGAGAGGUAAGCACCAAAUAAAAAAAUAAAAUAAAAUCAUAUAUACAUA